CCUACGGGAGGCAGCAGUAGGGAAUCUUCCACAAUGGACGAAAGUCUGAUGGAGCAACGCCGCGUGAGCGAUGAAGGUCUUCGGAUCGUAAACUUCUGUCAGCAGGGAAGAACGGUCGCUGUGCUAAUCAGCAGUGAAUUGACGGUACCUGCACAGGAAGCACCGGCUAACUCCGUGCCAGCAGCCGCGGUAAUACGGAGGGUGCGAGCGUUAACCGGAAUUACUGGGCGUAAAGCGGUCGUAGGCGGUAUGUCAAGUCAAGGGUGAAAUCCCCGGGCUCAACGUGGGAACUGCCUUUGAUACUAGCAAACUGGAGUGAGAGAGAGGAUAGUGGAAUUCCAGGUGAAGGAGUGAAAUGCGUAGAUAUCUGGAAGAACAUCAGUGGCGAAGGCGACUAUCUGGCACAUAACUGACGCUGAGGGGCGAAAGCGUGGGGAGCAAACAGGAUUAGAUACCCCAGUAGUC
This 465-nucleotide ribosomal RNA is filed under the name uncultured bacterium. RNAcentral's name for it is "partial 16S ribosomal RNA". It matches the Rfam family "Bacterial small subunit ribosomal RNA", at positions 338 to 795 of the family's 1533-position model. The record is from RNAcentral.